RNAcentral lists this non-coding RNA (31 nucleotides) under Rattus norvegicus (Norway rat). The record is from RNAcentral. Lineage: Eukaryota; Metazoa; Chordata; Mammalia; Rodentia; Muridae.
UUAGUCCUGCUCAUUCUCUGUUGUACCCAGG